GACGAACGCUGGCGGCGUGCCUAAUACAUGCAAGUAGAACGCUGAAGAGAGGAGCUUGCUCUUCUUGGAUGAGUUGCGAACGGGUGAGUAACGCGUAGGUAACCUGCCUUGUAGCGGGGGAUAACUAUUGGAAACGAUAGCUAAUACCGCAUAACAAUGGAUGACACAUGUCAUUUAUUUGAAAGGGGCAAUUGCUCCACUACAAGAUGGACCUGCGUUGUAUUAGCUAGUAGGUGGGGUAAUGGCUCACCUAGGCGACGAUACAUAGCCGACCUGAGAGGGUGAGCGGCCACACUGGGACUGAGACACGGCCCAGACUCCUACGGGGGGCAGCAGUAGGGAAUCUUCGGCAAUGGGGGCAACCCUGACCGAGCAACGCCGCGUGAGUGAAGAAGGUUUUCGGAUCGUAAAGCUCUGUUGUAAGUCAAGAACGGGUGUGAGAGUGGAAAGUUCACACUGUGACGGUAGCUUACCAGAAAGGGACGGCUAACUACGUG
RNAcentral lists this ribosomal RNA (497 nucleotides) under uncultured bacterium. RNAcentral describes it as "partial 16S ribosomal RNA". It matches the Rfam family "Bacterial small subunit ribosomal RNA", at positions 28 to 507 of the family's 1533-position model. The record is from RNAcentral.